UCACCGGAGGAGAAACGACAUCGUACCACCACCUUCACAUCCUAUCGGAUUUCUAAACCCAUCACAGCCAAUGGCUUCAUUGCCGGCAGUUAUUUUUCCGGUGACACGUCAUUGAACCGCUGCUCACACCCUCAGGUUCCUCUAACCAUGACAUUGUAAAGGAUAUUCUGGGUGAUGUUGGAACAUUCACAGUUGAAUGAGAGACUUUGGCAGUGUAAUCUUCAGGAAAAUGGUGUAAAUCUCGGGCAUAUGACGACUAAAUCAGCAAAUAACAAUCAAAGCAUCAAUGACAUAAGUGAUUUAUUCAUGAUAGCACGUUGGAUUCAUUAUUCAAAGAUGCUUUUCAAGUUGAUUUUCACAGCAUGUGUGGUUCAAGUGAAAAAGUUAAAGAAAGAAGAAAAUCUAUCAAGGUUUCUUCAAAUCAACAAAACAGAUCCAAGAUACAUCAUAAUUGCUGGAAAGGGCACUACAUCUACUGUGUUAACUUGGUUCAGUUACAUGCUUCAGAAUAAGUCUGCAACAGAAAUCAAAGAAACAACAAAAACGAGAAACAAUCUCACAAAUGUUGUAAAAUUAGCAAACGGUGUGAGUGAAGAAAGCCUCAAAGUCAAAAUGAUGCAGCAUCUUCAUGCAGAUUUCAACGGAACUAUCAAGACCAUCAUGCAGUUCCAGUGGUAUAAAUUAAUAAUUAUUAAUAGUUAGCGUCUCAACAAAAGAAGUACUAUUUCAAUGAUAGCCUAAUUUUUUACUAAAUCAAUUUCAAGGGUGUUAGUUUUUAAAAAUACACUUUGGGUAACUUUACAUCCUCUAAAGUUGAUUAAAAAAAAGUGAAGUGCUACAAAUGUGGCAUCUUUUCAUAUGCUCUUGUUUACUAAACUGAAAUGUUUAGGUGGAAACAAUACCAUCAGAUGUCGAUUUAUAUGCUUUGCGGGGUGGUGAUGUUGUCUGUUGGUUAUGAGGUGAAGAAAGGGGAUAGUGUACCUUAUCAACCAUUGGAAUAGUAAGGCUCAAGUUUGAUAAGUUUAAACCAGAAAUUGAUGGUUUCAUCACAUCGUUGCAUUCAUCCAGAAAGCUCCUUUGUUUCCAGCUUUGCAGAAACACAAGCGAGACAAAGAAUUUGUUUGGCUCAAGAAUCUGCGUGUGUGCAGAUGAAGAUCUUUGCUUCUAUUUAGUUAAGUUGUUUCAUUUUCAAGGUGAAUGAAACCAAAAGUACAAAGUACAGAAUCAUGCUUAAUCUUCACAUUGAUGGUGAUACAGAGUUCAUCCAUGAUCUAGCUUACUCAUAUUUGGUGCGACUAGACACACAUAAGUGGACUGGUAAAUGGUUCAAGCUAAACAGGGCAUAACUUCCAUUACAUUUGAAGUUAAGUUAUACGGGAGAUGAGUAAUGCACAUAGACGUCUCAACAAGCCACAUGCUUGGACAAAUGCUAUAGGUGGGUUUUCGCGACUGUCAGCACCCAAUUUGGACAUCUAGAGCUCCAAUUUCGAA
RNA transcript from Helianthus annuus (common sunflower), 1491 nucleotides. RefSeq lists it as uncharacterized. Lineage: Eukaryota; Viridiplantae; Streptophyta; Magnoliopsida; Asterales; Asteraceae. The record is from RefSeq and is a predicted model, not a curated record. The transcript has 5 exons.